CUACGGGCGGCUGCAGUGGGGAAUCUUAGACAAUGGGCGCAAGCCUGAUCUAGCCAUGCCGCGUGAGUGACGAAGGCCUUAGGGUCGUAAAGCUCUUUCGCUGGGGAAGAUAAUGACGGUACCCAGUAAAGAAACCCCGGCUAACUCCGUGCCAGCAGCCGCGGUAAUACGGAGGGGGUUAGCGUUGUUCGGAAUUACUGGGCGUAAAGCGCGCGUAGGCGGAGCAGAAAGUGUGGGGGUGAAAUCUCGGGGCUCAACCCCGGAACUGCCUUCAAAACUCCUGGGCUUGAGUUCGAGAGAGGUGAGUGGAAUUCCGAGUGUAGAGGUGAAAUUCGUAGAUAUUCGGAGGAACACCAGUGGCGAAGGCGGCUCACUGGCUCGAUACUGACGCUGAGGUGCGAAAGCGUGGGGAGCAAACAGGAUUAGAUACCCUUGUAGUC
RNAcentral lists this ribosomal RNA (440 nucleotides) under uncultured bacterium. Its description in RNAcentral is "partial 16S ribosomal RNA". It matches the Rfam family "Bacterial small subunit ribosomal RNA", at positions 339 to 795 of the family's 1533-position model. The record is from RNAcentral.